RNAcentral lists this ribosomal RNA (231 nucleotides) under uncultured bacterium. Its description in RNAcentral is "partial 16S ribosomal RNA". It matches the Rfam family "Bacterial small subunit ribosomal RNA", at positions 103 to 334 of the family's 1533-position model. The record is from RNAcentral.
CGGGUGAGUAACACGUAUCCAACCUGCCGUCUACUCUUGGACAGCCUUCUGAAAGGAAGAUUAAUACAAGAUGGCAUCAUGAGUUCACAUGUUCACAUGAUUAAAGGUAUUCCGGUAGACGAUGGGGAUGCGUUCCAUUAGGUUGUUGGUGAGGUAACGGCUCACCAAGCCUUCGAUGGAUAGGGGUUCUGAGAGGAAGGUCCCCCACAUUGGAACUGAGACACGGUCCAA